AUAGCAGCCCACUGCAAACACAACUUGCAGGUGGGAUAAAUACUGGUCGUACAAGCAGCAUGCUGAAAACACAACUCGCAUCUACAACACCUGCAACUACUGCUAAUACUCGCAUAACUAGGAGUGCUGUGAAUAAGUCACAAACAGCCCAAAACAAAGGAGGGAAUCUAGCAGUUUCUUAUACUACUACAAAAGCACUGAAGGAUGAUGCGGCUAAGAAACGAGCAUUAGGCAAAGGGAAAGAACCAGCAGGCAAUGCACAGGAGGAAUAUGGAGUUUGAAUGGAGCACACGGUUGAUGGAAUGAUCAACAUCAAGGCAACCAUACCAUUGUUGUAGUGCUCCAUAGCUCAUUACAAUUUGAUGUGAUCAAACUAGAUAGUGAUUUGUGUUGGAUACCUUAUAUGUUUCAUUUGUGUGUGUGUUAUCAACUAAGGUUGACAUUGGAUGGUUUUGGUUUCAUUUAUAUUUUGUAUGAACAGACCAUAUAUUGGUUUAAUGGAUGUCUAAAUAUUU
Sorghum bicolor (sorghum) is the source of this 515-nucleotide long non-coding RNA. RefSeq lists it as uncharacterized. The record is from RefSeq and is a predicted model, not a curated record. NCBI's taxonomy places the organism in Eukaryota, Viridiplantae, Streptophyta, Magnoliopsida, Poales, Poaceae. The transcript is spliced from 2 exons.